GACAGAGGAUGCAAGCGUUAUCCGGAAUGAUUGGGCGUAAAGCGUCUGUAGGUGGCUUCUUAAGUCCGCUGUCAAAUCCCAGGGCUUAACCCUGGCCAGGCGGUGGAGACUACUAAGCUUGAGUACGGUAGGGGCAGAGGGAAUUUCCGGUGGAGCGGUGAAAUGCGUAGAGAUCGGAAAGAACACCAAGGGCGAAGGCACUCUGCUGGGCCGACACUGACACUGAGAGACGAGAGCUAGGGGAGCAAGUGGG
Molecule: ribosomal RNA, 253 nt
Filed under: uncultured bacterium
Lineage: Bacteria
Description: partial 16S ribosomal RNA
Rfam family: Bacterial small subunit ribosomal RNA
Source: RNAcentral